CUGUGUUCUACUUCUUGCAAAGAUCCGUGUUUUGUGUGCUGUUGUUAUGACAACAUCCUGAAAUUACCCUGGCAACCUAUAGGGCUCUUUAUAUGCGUCUUUUUGGCUCAGGAAUCUUGGAAAGGGAUUUUUAAGCCUAGACUUGGAUUUAAAUAACCCAACUCUGUCCUCAAACGCACCAUGUUCUUUGAUCCCUGAGCAUGAGGAGCUGGUAGCCAUACAGUCUGUAGAGCUUACAGAAGAGGCCGAGUCGGAGAAAGACCCACUGGCAGACAGCGGUUACAUCGAAUUCCACUAUUAUCAAUGUGAACAAUAUCAGUAUCUGGUGCUGCCUGGGAACAGCGACUUGGACCUGGAAACGGUUGAGAUCCUCCAACUUGAUGCAGAAGCACAGGAAGCUGCAGGAUCGCUGCUCGAUUUAGCGGGAGGAAGCCACUGAUACUCUUGAUAGAAAUUAAUGGAUAAGGCCAUACAGAUUGUGUAGGCAGCAUGUACUGUACAUUUUCAGGAAUGAAAAUUUCAGGCAAAAAUUGUGCUGGAAAGAGGUUAAGGUAAAUGAGGGGGCUGUGUAUGAACAGCUUUCAUGUAUUGCAGUUUUCUGACUCUCAAGAUUCAAAAAUGAAAGCACACACCACUGUUAAAACAAAACAAUAUUGUGGUUGAUCAAGACAUUUAUCAGACAGCACUUUUUUCUAGCCAGAGAAGACAUAAACUUUGAAGACAAAGUUUAUUAAUAUAUCCACUGGGUUGCAGGGUUUAUUAGGUACAGCUACCUUGUCGCUUCACUUAGUACUAGCUAACCUUAUCAUAAACUUCACUGAGUAACUGGCGCAGUGGAAAGUGAUCACCACAGGAUCAUUGCUGACCAGAGAUCAUACCAACACAACUGCCAUAACUGCUGGACUAAAAUUAAAAAUUGUCUGAAUAAUAUAUGAUUAGUAAUGGUCCUAAAAUGGUUCUUUUUCCAUUAAUGAAUGGGAUAGACUUCAUGUGACUAACUGAUUGCCGUGGGUUGCCAUCAGUUAUUGGACUUGCAUGGUGGUUGUAACUAAUGAACUAACAAAUCAGUACAAUUGUAAGUAUAAGAAUGAACCUCCUUGUUUUAUAAUGAUAUAAAUGAUAUAUUACAUUUAAUAAUGGUAUAGUGAUAUUAAAGGAAAAACUGCCAGUAACUCAGCUUUUUUAUUAGGAUGUUUUAGACUCUUUUUUUCCCACCUCUUUUGAUUAUUAACAUUAUAAUGUCAACGUGUUCUUAGUGCACCAUAUUUUAUUGUUAAUUUGUUUAAAUUGUUUAGUGGUGUGAUUAGCAGCUUGAACCAAAAUGCCUCCAGAUGUUGUUUAUAUGUAAAGGCACUUGAUAAUAAAC
Ictalurus punctatus (channel catfish) is the source of this 1366-nucleotide long non-coding RNA. The record is from Ensembl. Lineage: Eukaryota; Metazoa; Chordata; Actinopteri; Siluriformes; Ictaluridae.